RNAcentral lists this ribosomal RNA (406 nucleotides) under uncultured bacterium. RNAcentral describes it as "bacterial SSU rRNA". It matches the Rfam family "Bacterial small subunit ribosomal RNA", at positions 30 to 442 of the family's 1533-position model. The record is from RNAcentral.
AUUGAACGCUGGCGGCAUGCCUUACACAUGCAAGUCGAACGGCAGCACGGGAGCAAUCCUGGUGGCGAGUGGCGAACGGGUGAGUAAUAUAUCGGAACGUGCCCAGUCGUGGGGAUAACGUAGCGAAAGCUACGCUAAUACCGCAUACGAUCUAUGGAUGAAAGCGGGGGAUCGCAAGACCUCGCGCGAUUGGAGCGGCCGAUAUCAGAUUAGGUAGUUGGUGAGGUAAAGGCUCACCAAGCCGACGAUCUGUAGCUGGUCUGAGAGGACGACCAGCCACACUGGGACUGAGACACGGCCCAGACUCCUACGGGAGGCAGCAGUGGGGAAUUUUGGACAAUGGGCGCAAGCCUGAUCCAGCAAUGCCGCGUGCAGGAUGAAGGCCUGGUGUAACUGCUUUGUACGG